UAAGUCCAUAGAGACUAAAUGAAUUAAAGUCCAAGUACGAUUCAAGUAAGUGGGAAGAGGAAACAGAAGAGGUUAGUGCAUAAAGUUCUUUUGUCGGAGGUUCUCUAAGAAUUCAAAGUGAUAGAAAGACAUGAAGAAUGAGGAAAAUAGGGAAAACAUUAUAGUCAUUUUCAGAAAGCGAGGAAGUUAAUCAUAACAUAUAAAUACGAAAGAAGUCAUCUAUCAUGGGAUAAAAUCAAUCAAAGGGAGACCAAUGAUAAGCAGCAACAUAA
RNAcentral lists this long non-coding RNA (272 nucleotides) under Lathyrus oleraceus (garden pea). Its description in RNAcentral is "Pisum sativum (pea) long non-coding RNA (PSAT_LNC028791)". The record is from RNAcentral. Lineage: Eukaryota; Viridiplantae; Streptophyta; Magnoliopsida; Fabales; Fabaceae.